GGGGAGAUAGCCAAGUGGCCAACGGCAACAGACUGUAAAUCUGUCCUCUUCGGAGUUCGAAGGUUCGAAUCCUUCUCUCCCCACCA
This 86-nucleotide transfer RNA is filed under the name Bacteroidota bacterium. RNAcentral's name for it is "tRNA-Tyr". It matches the Rfam family "tRNA". Rfam says of the family: Transfer RNA (tRNA) molecules are approximately 80 nucleotides in length. Their secondary structure includes four short double-helical elements and three loops (D, anti-codon, and T loops). The record is from RNAcentral. Lineage: Bacteria; Pseudomonadati; Bacteroidota. RNAcentral also lists the same sequence under 2 other names.